GCCACUGCUAUUGGGGUUCGGCUAAGCCAUGCGAGUGGAGGGCGUCCCGCAAGGGAUGGCCCCGCAGACGGCUCAGUAACACGUCGUCAACCCACCUUAGGGUGGGGGACAACCUCGGGAGACUGAGGAUAAUCCCCCAUAGGCGGGGGAGGCUAGAAUGCGCCCCCGCUGAAAGCUCAGGCGCCCUAAGACGGGACGGCGGCCUAUCAGGUAGUUGGUGGUGUGACG
This 228-nucleotide ribosomal RNA is filed under the name uncultured archaeon. RNAcentral describes it as "partial 16S ribosomal RNA". It matches the Rfam family "Archaeal small subunit ribosomal RNA", at positions 23 to 246 of the family's 1478-position model. The record is from RNAcentral.